GGCCGGUUAGCUCAGUUGGUUAGAGCGUGCUGCUAAUAAUGCCAAGGUCACAGGUUCGAUCCCCGUACAGGCCA
This 74-nucleotide transfer RNA is filed under the name Equus caballus (horse). It matches the Rfam family "tRNA". Rfam says of the family: Transfer RNA (tRNA) molecules are approximately 80 nucleotides in length. Their secondary structure includes four short double-helical elements and three loops (D, anti-codon, and T loops). The record is from Rfam by way of RNAcentral. Lineage: Eukaryota; Metazoa; Chordata; Mammalia; Perissodactyla; Equidae.